This 489-nucleotide ribosomal RNA is filed under the name uncultured bacterium. RNAcentral describes it as "partial 16S ribosomal RNA". It matches the Rfam family "Bacterial small subunit ribosomal RNA", at positions 28 to 507 of the family's 1533-position model. The record is from RNAcentral.
GAUGAACGCUAGCUACAGGCUUAACACAUGCGAGUCGAGGGGCAGCAUGAACUUAGCUUGCUAAGUUUGAUGGCGACCGGCGCACGGGUGAGUAACACGUAUCCAACCUGCCGAUGACUCGGGGAUAGCCUUUCGAAAGAAAGAUUAAUACCCGAUGGCAUAGUUCUUCCGCAUGGUAGAACUAUUAAAGAAUUUCGGUCAUCGAUGGGGAUGCGUUCCAUUAGGUUGUUGGCGGGGUAACGGCCCACCAAGCCUUCGAUGGAUAGGGGUUCUGAGAGGAAGGUCCCCCACAUUGGAACUGAGACACGGUCCAAACUCCUACGGGAGGCAGCAGUGAGGAAUAUUGGUCAAUGGACGAGAGUCUGAACCAGCCAAGUAGCGUGAAGGAUGACUGCCCUAUGGGUUGUAAACUUCUUUUAUACGGGAAUAAAGUGAGGCACGUGUGCCUUUUUGUAUGUACCGUAUGAAUAAGGAUCGGCUAACUCCGUG